ACUGGGGCUGUUCAGCCUGGAAAAGAGAAGGCUCUGAGCAUGCGCAGGCUGGCAUGCUCAGCUGUCACACCACAGAAUGAAGAGCAUCUUGAUCUGCUCAUUCAUGUGAAUCAAAAUAUUAUGACCAGAGAACUUGUACAGAGCUGAAUACGAGCCUCAGUGCAUUGGAAACAAUGGUGGCAACAUUGGAAUAUUGCAGAGUUUGUGCCAGAUCACACCAUUACUGGUGAUGAGAUGUGCGGCCACCAUGUGAGCUGGAAUCAAAACUGCAGUCCAUGGAGUGGUGACAUGUGAAUUCCUCAUUGAAUAAAGAAGUUCAGGACGUACUAUGAUGUGCACUGUCUUUUGGGAUGAGAAAGAGGUGAUCUUUCCAGACUUCCUGGAACCUGGACAGACUGUCAACUGUGACCUCGACAUCAUGAUGCUGACUAAGCUGAAGGCUCCAACUUCCAGAGUCAGUCCAGAGAAGAAAACAUGAGAGCUCCAGUGCCCAUACCAGUUUGAAGACUGUAGACACAUUGUGAAUCUUGGCCGGACUGCCCUACCAUACUCAUCAUGUAGUCCAGAUUUAGUGCCUUCUGACUUCCAUCUGUUUGGGCUGAUGAAAGAUGGACUGCAUCACCAACAUUUUACUAACAGUGAUGCCUUUGUAGCAGCUGUGAAACAGUGGGUCACCUCCACUAGUGUAUAUUUUUGAGUGCAGGCUCUUGUUCACGGCUGGGGGAAAUACAUAGAUACUGGCAGUGACUAUGUUGGAAAACAGUAUUUUGAAGCUGAGAAUAUGCUCUAUGAGAUAGUGUUAAUGUGCUUUUACAUCUGCUGUGGUUCCUUGGAAAUAAACAGGAGGCAUUACUUUGAGAGUGA
Molecule: long non-coding RNA, 864 nt
Organism: Lagopus leucura (white-tailed ptarmigan)
Lineage: Eukaryota; Metazoa; Chordata; Aves; Galliformes; Phasianidae
Exons: 3
Source: RefSeq, a predicted model, not a curated record